This 105-nucleotide microRNA precursor is filed under the name Canis lupus familiaris (dog). Its description in RNAcentral is "mir-8834 microRNA precursor family". It matches the Rfam family "mir-8834 microRNA precursor family". Lineage: Eukaryota; Metazoa; Chordata; Mammalia; Carnivora; Canidae. The record is from Rfam by way of RNAcentral.
UGGAGGAACAACCCCAGUGGCGGGGCCAGCUCUGGAAACCUGGAUUCAGCCCCCACAGGAACUCUGAAGCACUCCGCCUGCAGGGCCUGGAGGCCCCGGGCGGGG